CUACGGGAGGCAGCAGUGGGGAAUAUUGGACAAUGGGCGCAAGCCUGAUCCAGCCAUGCCGCGUGAGUGAAGAAGGCCCUUUGGGUUGUAAAGCUCUUUCAGCGGGGACGAUGAUGACGGUACCCGCAGAAGAAGCCCCGGCUAACUUCGCGCCAGCAGCCGCGGUAAUACGAAGGGGGCAAGCGUUGUUCAGAUUUACUGGGCGUAAAGGGCGCGUAGGCGGACGACCAUGUCAGAGGUGAAAGCCCCGGGCUCAACCUGGGAAUUGCCUUUGAAACGGGUUGUCUUGAGGACGGGAGAGGAUGGUGGAAUACCCAGUGUAGAGGUGAAAUUCGUAGAUAUUGGGUGGAACACCGGUGGCGAAGGCGACCAUCUGGCCCGUAACUGACGCUGAGGCGCGAAAGCGUGGGGAGCAAACAGGAUUAGAAACCCCAGUAGUCC
Molecule: ribosomal RNA, 441 nt
Filed under: uncultured bacterium
Lineage: Bacteria
Description: bacterial SSU rRNA
Rfam family: Bacterial small subunit ribosomal RNA
Source: RNAcentral